RNAcentral lists this long non-coding RNA (640 nucleotides) under Mytilus galloprovincialis (Mediterranean mussel). Lineage: Eukaryota; Metazoa; Mollusca; Bivalvia; Mytilida; Mytilidae. The record is from RNAcentral.
UAUUCUCAAAACGACUUAUAGUAGAAUGGUGAUGACCAACAAUACGUGCAAUUGUUACAGCGACAUACCUGCUUCUCUCAUGCUGAUUAUCUGCCAUCUUGCUACAGUUAUGAGUUGUGGAUGACUAUUGACAAGGUAUCAAUCACAUAAAUUUAUAAACUUGGUUAUUUAAAGUGUUGAAAACAAUGAGGAUACAAACAUCUGUUUUAUUGUUUACGAGUACAGUGCUGCAUGUGCAGAUAAGAACUUAUCGAGUCGAUAUUUAUUGAUUAAACUCGGGUGAUAUUUAAAUAAUGUUUAACUAGUUCUAUUUCAACAAAUUAUAUCACAAAACAAUAUAGACUAUUUUUUAAUUUGAAUUUCAAUUUGGUGUUGCAAUACUGUUUUCCUGUGUAUAUAUAACAUGCUUUGUCAUUUGACAACGUAUUGUAUGUUUGUGUAGAGAGGAUGAAAACUGCUGUCCUUUUCUAUCUGUGGCGUUGUUAAUAAUUUGAUUUCGGCUCAUUUUUCCCUGUAACAAUCAAUAUGACUCUUGCUUGCCUUAGUGCAAAAAUCAGGUAUUUUUUCGUCUUUUUUAAUUUUAACUAAAAAAUUCGAGACAGAAUUGACCAUUUUAUAAAUGUUAACAUUCAAAUCAAAU